AUCCAGAUGACGAGUUAUAAAUAGGACGAAACGCGCAUCCUGGAU
Molecule: non-coding RNA, 45 nt
Organism: Trichobilharzia regenti
Lineage: Eukaryota; Metazoa; Platyhelminthes; Trematoda; Strigeidida; Schistosomatidae
Source: Rfam